This is a long non-coding RNA of Leucoraja erinaceus (little skate), 2444 nucleotides long. RefSeq lists it as uncharacterized. The record is from RefSeq and is a predicted model, not a curated record. The transcript is spliced from 2 exons. NCBI's taxonomy places the organism in Eukaryota, Metazoa, Chordata, Chondrichthyes, Rajiformes, Rajidae.
CCCACUCCACUUGGGGCCCAUGUGUGUGCGCGCUGCCGACCCACAGCCCUUGUCGAUGCGGCCCGAUGGGGCGGAGAGCGGCCAAAGUGGACUGGAAAGAUACCCUAGCAGGGAUAACAGUGAAACAACAAUGGCAGGUAUUUCUAGGAAUAAUACAGAAGGUGGAGGAUCAGUUCAUUCCUUGGAGGAAGAAAGAUUCCAAGGGGAGUAAGGGGCUGACAAGGGACAUCAGGGACAGUAUAAAAAUAAAAGAGAAGUUAUAAGAGCUAGCGCGGUCCCCGCCAUCUUAUUUAGCUAUUUUAUUGAAUUUUUCUAUCAGAAGUACAACGUAGCAAAGAUGAGCGGGUAGCAAGAGCAUUGGGUAAUGUUUAAAGAGCUACAGAAGAUAACUAAAAAGACAAUACGGGGAGAAAAGAUGAGGUACGAAGGUAAGCUAGCAAGAAUAUAAAGGAGGAUAGUAAAAGCUUCUUUAGGUAUGUGAAAAGGAAAAAUUAGUUAAGACCAAAGUUGGACCCUUGAAGAUCGAAAAAGGUGAAUUUAUUAUGGGGGAACAGACAGUAAUACUGGUCGGAGAACUGGGAAGGGGGAGGGGAGAGUGAGAGAGAGAGACUGUUCAUAUUGUUGGGGUGCAAGCUACCCAAGCAAAAUAUGAGGUGCUGUUCCUCCAGUUUGCGCUGGGCCUCAUUCACAGUGGCAGAGGCCCAGGACAGAAAGGUCAGAUUGGGAAUGGGAGGGGGAGUUAAAGUGCUGACCAACUGGGAGAUCAGGUAGGUUAAGGCGGACUCAGUGGAGGUGUUGAGAGAAAUGAUCGCCGAGCCUGCGCUUGGUCUCGCCAGACUACUACGGCACCUCCCUUGUCGGCGGGUUUGAUUAUAAUGUCAAGGUUGCUGCCGAGUGAGCGGGGGGGGGGCGCUGUACGUUCAGAGGGGGAGAGGUUAGAGUUGUUCAUGGGAGUAGAAAUGUUGAGACGAUUGAUGUCACACCAGCAGUUGGAAAUAAUAAGGUCUAAAUUGGGUGGAGGGCUGUCCGGGGGAGUCCAAGAGGAGGGGGACCGGUGGAGACGGGAGAAGGAGUCAUCACUGGCUAGUGAGGACUCCUUCAUAUAGAAAAAGGCGCGGAGGAAACGGAAGAAAAUCUCUAAGUUGUGGUGUGUCCGCAUCUUGUUGAGGUGCGGACGAAGGGGUACAAAUGUCCGGGCUCUGUUGAGGACCAACUGUUCUGCAUCUGAAAGAGAGAAGUCAGAGGGGAUGGUGAGAACACAACAGAGGUGUGGGCUGUGAUUAGAGGGAUGGAGAGAAACUUGAGGGAGGUACUGCAGGGAAUGAUGAGUUGAGAGGGGUAGUGUAAGGGUGGAAUUAGGAGAGGUAGCAUGGUUGGAAUAGGGGGGAGGGCAGCAUGUCCCAGUACUUCCAUUACUGGUCCCUAUUGGAAGGGGCGUGCAACAGAACCUAGGACAGUUGGCAGGGGAGUCAGUCCUCAUUGAUGUUGUUAUAGCUAGCAGUCUGGACCCACUGCUCUGUUUUAACUCCCCUUGCCUUUCCAUACUGACCAUUCUGCUCUGCGUCUCCUCCAUUGCCAGAACGAGCCCACAUGCAAACUGGAAGAUGAGCACCCAAUAUUCCGCUUGGGUAGCUUACAACCAAUGAUAUGAACAUUGGAUUCUCCAAUUAUAGGUAAACUCAAACAAGGAGGUAUUUAUUGAGAGAAGUUGAAUCUGAAAUAAUUCCAUGAAAAUGUGUAAAUAAUGGAAAUCUGAAAUUUAAAACAAAAUGAUCGUUAUCUGAAAUUGUUUACCACAAUUUCAAUAAAGGGGUUACGUACCUAGUUGGUAAUGUGGGUGCAUUGAACUUCAUUGGAACAGAAUAGGAGAACAAAAACCCUCUUUUUUUUUGUGUAUUGGAAGACUUUCUAAUUAACUUCACUUCAGAGCCAAACGAUUAAUAGAAAUGGCUAUGUUUGGAGAUUGCAAAGUUUAUCUGCCAAAGAAUAAAUCAAGUUUUUAUUUCUCUCUGUUAUUAGUCCAAGGAUGGUUUACCAUCAUCAGCGCAACUAGGAUCAAUCAAUAUGCAGUGAUCUUCUUGAUUGGUGUCUCAACAUAAUUUCAGAAUCUCGGGACUUUCCCAACAAACAUCUUCAAAGCAGUUUUCUCAAUGGAUUUUUUACGAUAUUUUACGAUCGGAUUAUGAGUCGUGAAAGCCAGGAAGUUCAUAGUAAAGUGUUUUGCUUUAAAUUCGACUCCGAGCCUUAAGUGCAUUGGAGCAUUUCAAUGGCCCGCCUUAGCAUUCAGCAACAAAGGAGAUGAAAUAUCAGCUAAGAUAAAAGCCUAUUAUAUUUUUUUUACUUGGAUACUGAGCCUUUGUACAAAUGGCACAUAAGGCAAGAUAGAGAUUCCAUGUGAUUGUUUAUAUUAAUAAAACAAAAAUAAAUAAAUUGGUUGAAAUCAA